This is a long non-coding RNA of Schistocerca nitens (vagrant locust), 1159 nucleotides long. RefSeq lists it as uncharacterized. The record is from RefSeq and is a predicted model, not a curated record. The transcript has 3 exons. NCBI's taxonomy places the organism in Eukaryota, Metazoa, Arthropoda, Insecta, Orthoptera, Acrididae.
CCGCGAGCCCGUGAAUCGCUGCGCGGGGCUGACAGCCGUAACGCGAUCGAAGAGACACACAUGAAACGGAGUCAUUAAAAUUUUAGCGUGUCACAUCAUUUUACCCUCUGUUUUGCCAAACGCACUCUGUCGUGGAUAGUCGAAAUGUAAUUACCAUAUUUCACGACAAAGAAAUUGUGCGGAGAGUGAUAAUGCGAAUCAGUUAUUUCAGUUUUAGUAUAUUUGGAGACAAUGUUCAGAAAGGCGUUUUGUAACUGUGUCGUCUCUGCUAACAAGUAGGGAUAUAUUUGCUUUUAAAAAAGGUGUAAUUUAAACCAGGAUGCAUAGACUGCUGCCUGCGGACCUCAUGCGGCCCGCCAUCGAUCUGAUCUGCUGGCGGCCCACUCGUCAACGUUUAUGCUAUAACACUGCACAGAAUUUCCAUAAAUGUUUGGCCUGAGUUCAGGAUUAAAUGGUAACGCUUGUUUUUUUCUUAUGGGUCUACUAGAGAACCCACGAAGUUUUCCUACAGCUGCGUCUCAUUAAACACUUUCGCCACAAGGAGCGCUGUGUGAUCAGUAUCGUAAAAAUGACUUCCCCCAUGGAGAAUGGUGAGUCUGUUGUGUGGCUAGCAGAAACCAAAUCACCGAUUACUGUGCAGUGAAACAUUGUGUACCGUUAUGGAAAGAAAGCGCUUGACGCCAAGUUAACCAGAUCAUGGCUGGAAACUUUUUUAGCAAAGGGGUCGGCUCAGAAACUGGUGCCGGCGUGUUUACCUGCUGGCUGGGGCGCGAGGGCGGCAGCUGCCACACCUCUCUGAUACUCGAUUCGCCAUCAUAUUGUGGGCUUUGCACUACAUCUGCCUCAACGUUGGAUGUACUUCUGUGAAAUAUAUUACAAAAACACAGACGACUUGGGUGGCUCCUGCUUCUUCUAACUGGACCUGCUGAACUUCCUUCUUUCGUUGGGAUGGUUCAAAUAGAUGGUGCUACUGCGGAAGGGUCUGCAGGUCCUGUUUGUGAGAUUGCUGCUGAUCCUGUUGAAAUUCAAAUGUUCGUUGUUGGUCGUCUUACUACGAUGAUGCAAUGGAUCUGCCGCCGUAAUUACAGCCACAAGUGCUCACAGCCCGUUCCAGGAAACGAACCUAUCUUCAUUCAGUUGCAUGGUAACGAAAUCUGAU